GCGGAGGAAAAGAAAGCAACAGCGAUAGCCUCAGUAACGGCGAGUGAAGCGGCUACAGCUCAAAUUUGAAAUCUGGCUCCCUUUGGGCGUCCGAGUUGUAAUUUGCAGAGGAUGCUUUGGCAUUGGCGGCGGUCUAAGUUCCUUGGAACAGGACAUCGCAGAGGGUGAGAAUCCCGUACGUGGGCGCCUGCCUUUGCCGUGUAAAGCUCCUUCGACGAGUCGAGUUGUUUGGGAAUGCAGCUCUAAAUGGGAGGUAAAUUUCUCCUAAAGCUAAAUACCGGCCAGAGACCGAUAGCGCACAAGUAGAGUGAUCGAAAGAUGAAAAGUACUUUGGAAAGAGAGUCAAAUAGCACGUGAAAUUGUUGAAAGGGAAGCGCUUGCAGCCAGACUUGCCCGCAGUUGCUCACCUAGGCUUUUGCCUGGGGCACUCUUCUGCGGGCAGGCCAGCAUCAGUUUGGGCGGUCGGAUAAAGGUCUCUGUCAUGUACCACCCCUCGGGGUGGCCUUAUAGGGGAGACGCAAUGCGACC
RNAcentral lists this non-coding RNA (528 nucleotides) under Pseudopithomyces sacchari. RNAcentral describes it as "sequence contains 28S rRNA gene". It matches the Rfam family "Eukaryotic large subunit ribosomal RNA", at positions 50 to 580 of the family's 3401-position model. Lineage: Eukaryota; Fungi; Ascomycota; Dothideomycetes; Pleosporales; Didymosphaeriaceae. The record is from RNAcentral.